GGUCAAGUUAGAAAGGGCGUAUGGUGGAUGCCCAGGCACUUAGAGCCGAAGAAGGACGCAGCAAGCGGCGAAACGCUCCGGGGAGUCGCAAGCAGACGCAGAUCCGGAGAUCUCCGAAUGGGGAAACCCGCUUAAGGUAAUACUUAAGCAUCCCAUGGUGAACACAUAGCCAUGAGGAAGGGACACCGCGUGAACUGAAACAUCUAAGUAGCGCGAGGA
RNAcentral lists this non-coding RNA (219 nucleotides) under Desulfotomaculum copahuensis. RNAcentral describes it as "Bacterial large subunit ribosomal RNA". It matches the Rfam family "Bacterial large subunit ribosomal RNA", at positions 1 to 217 of the family's 2925-position model. Lineage: Bacteria; Bacillati; Bacillota; Clostridia; Eubacteriales; Desulfotomaculaceae. The record is from Rfam by way of RNAcentral.